Small nucleolar RNA from Macadamia integrifolia, 107 nucleotides. NCBI's taxonomy places the organism in Eukaryota, Viridiplantae, Streptophyta, Magnoliopsida, Proteales, Proteaceae. The record is from RefSeq and is a predicted model, not a curated record.
AUUCCAUGGUGAGGGCACCCUUGAAGGAGGUCCUUAAAUCUCUCCAUAAAUUUGGAGAACGACUCAGUAGGUUUCUUCUAAAAUUGAAGAAUAUCACUCUUGAGUUU